AUUGAACGCUAGCGGGAUGCUUUACACAUGCAAGUCGAACGGAGUGGCGGACGGGUGAGUAAUAUAUCGGAACGUGCGCAGUAGCGGGGGAUCACUACUCGAAAGAGUGUCUUAUCCCGCAACCUAUUGGAGCGGCAUAUAGGGGAUUAGCUAGGUGGUGGGGUAAAGUCUCACCAAGGCAACGAUCCGUAGGGGGUUUGAGAGGACGACCAGCCACACUGGGACGGGGACACGGCCCAGACUCCUACGGGAGGCAGCAGUGGGGAAUUUUGGACAAUGGGGGAAACCCUGAUCCAGCCAUCCCGCGUGUAUGAUGAAGGCCUUCGGGUUGUAAAGUACUUUUGGCAGGGAAGCGGUAUCUGCAGAAGAAGCACCGGCUAACUACGUGCCAGCAGCCGCGGUAAUUC
This 407-nucleotide ribosomal RNA is filed under the name uncultured bacterium. RNAcentral describes it as "partial 16S ribosomal RNA". It matches the Rfam family "Bacterial small subunit ribosomal RNA", at positions 30 to 526 of the family's 1533-position model. The record is from RNAcentral.